RNAcentral lists this small nucleolar RNA (85 nucleotides) under Octodon degus (degu). RNAcentral's name for it is "Small nucleolar RNA SNORD53/SNORD92 (ENSODEG00000022878.1)". It matches the Rfam family "Small nucleolar RNA SNORD53/SNORD92". Rfam says of the family: U53 is a member of the C/D class of snoRNA which contain the C (UGAUGA) and D (CUGA) box motifs. Most of the members of the box C/D family function in directing site-specific 2'-O-methylation of substrate RNAs. The record is from Rfam by way of RNAcentral. Lineage: Eukaryota; Metazoa; Chordata; Mammalia; Rodentia; Octodontidae.
GUGCUGUGAUGAUGCUAUAAAAUUGUGGUUUCGACUCGCUGAGAGUAAAAUGAAGACCUACAAUUCCUUGGCUGUGUCUGAGCAC